RNAcentral lists this microRNA precursor (59 nucleotides) under Oreochromis niloticus (Nile tilapia). RNAcentral describes it as "microRNA oni-mir-10619 precursor". The record is from miRBase by way of RNAcentral. Lineage: Eukaryota; Metazoa; Chordata; Actinopteri; Cichliformes; Cichlidae.
UAGGUCAGAGGGCUCUCAAUAUGUCUAUCGCUCCACCAUCGAGAGCCUUCUGACUCACU